Molecule: ribosomal RNA, 253 nt
Filed under: uncultured bacterium
Lineage: Bacteria
Description: partial 16S ribosomal RNA
Rfam family: Bacterial small subunit ribosomal RNA
Source: RNAcentral
UACGAAGGGGGCUAGCGUUGCUCGGAAUCACUGGGCGUAAGGCGCACGUAGGCGGAUUGCUAAGUCAGGGGUGAAAUCCUGGAGCUCAACUCCAGAACUGCCUUUGAUACUGGCGACCUUGAGUCCGGGAGAGGUGAGUGGAACUGCGAGUGUAGAGGUGAAAUUCGUAGAUAUUCGCAAGAACACCAGUGGCGAAGGCGGCUCACUGGCCCGGUACUGACGCUGAGGUGCGAAAGCGUGGGGAGCAAACAGG